RNAcentral lists this ribosomal RNA (492 nucleotides) under uncultured bacterium. Its description in RNAcentral is "partial 16S ribosomal RNA". It matches the Rfam family "Bacterial small subunit ribosomal RNA", at positions 29 to 507 of the family's 1533-position model. The record is from RNAcentral.
AGUGAACGCUGGCGGUAGGCCUAACACAUGCAAGUCGAACGGCAGCACAGUAAGAGCUUGCUCUUACGGGUGGCGAGUGGCGGACGGGUGAGGAAUACAUCGGAAUCUACUUUUUCGUGGGGGAUAACGUAGGGAAACUUACGCUAAUACCGCAUACGACCUACGGGUGGAAGCAGGGGAUCUUCGGACCUUGCGCGAUUGAAUGAGCCGAUGUCGGAUUAGCUAGUUGGCGGGGUAAAGGCCCACCAAGGCGACGAUCCGUAGCUGGUCUGAGAGGAUGAUCAGCCACACUGGAACUGCGACACGGUCCAGACUCCUACGGGAGGCAGCAGUGGGGAAUAUUGGACAAUGGGCGCAAGCCUGAUCCAGCCAUACCGCGUGGGUGAAGAAGGCCUUCGGGUUGUAAAGCCCUUUUGUUGGGAAAGAAAAGCAGCAGGUUAAUACCCCGCUGUUCUGACGGUACCCAAAGAAUAAGCACCGGCUAACUUCGUG